RNAcentral lists this transfer RNA (75 nucleotides) under Salmonella phage pSal-SNUABM-01. RNAcentral describes it as "tRNA-Gln". It matches the Rfam family "tRNA". Rfam says of the family: Transfer RNA (tRNA) molecules are approximately 80 nucleotides in length. Their secondary structure includes four short double-helical elements and three loops (D, anti-codon, and T loops). The record is from RNAcentral. Lineage: Duplodnaviria; Heunggongvirae; Uroviricota; Caudoviricetes; Grimontviridae.
AGGGUUGUCGUAUAAUGGCGAUUACGUCGGACUUUGAAUCCGAACAUCGUGGUUCGAUUCCACGCAACCCUGCCA